RNAcentral lists this ribosomal RNA (535 nucleotides) under Pseudoparlatoria sp. ud4144. RNAcentral's name for it is "eukaryotic LSU rRNA". Lineage: Eukaryota; Metazoa; Arthropoda; Insecta; Hemiptera; Diaspididae. The record is from RNAcentral.
AUCUGGGCGGCGAAAUUCAGGAUGGCUGGCGGGCUUCGCGCUUGUCCGGCCGUUUGAUGUUUUCGUCGCCGUUCGCAGACGUCGCGACCUGUUUGUCGUCGGUCCCUGCUCGGAGGAGCCGUUGUCGAGUUCGUUGUGGGCGCGUUUCGGCGCGUUUCACGGCGAAGGCGCGCGGAUCUCUGGCUGACGACGGACAGUAAGCAACGGUGUCCGACGCCGUGUCUCGUACUCGGCGUCGGUGCCGGUCGGCGACGAUUUCUUCGGGCCUCUUUCCGACCCGUCUUGAAACACGGACCAAGGAGUCUAACAUGCGCGCGAGUCGCGGGGUAUCGAGCGUACCACGGUGCGCUCGUUACGUCACGAAACCCGUACGUUGAAGGCGUAAUGAAAGUGAAUGGGGAAGAUGGCGUUUCCGAGUUCACGUUCCGCGAUCUCGUAUCGCGGCCGGACGCCCGCAUUCCCGGGGCGUCUCAACGGCUCGUCGCGAAUGCGGACGGUCGCCUUUCGGGGUGGCCGUCGGUUUGCGACGGACCGA